AGAGUUUGAUCCUGGCUCAGGACGAACGCGGCGGCGUGCCUAACACAUGCAAGUCGAACGGAGAUAUACGCUGAUUUGAUGAAAGCUUGCUUUUGGAUUUUCUUGUGUAUCUUAGUGGCGGACGGGCGAGUAACGCGUGAGCAACCUGCCCUUCAGUGGGGGACAACAGUUGGAAACGACUGCUAAUACCGCAUAACGUAUUCUGGCGGCAUCGCCGGAAUACCAAAGGAGCAAUUCGCUGAAGGAUGGGCUCGCGUCCGAUUAGGUAGUUGGUGAGGUAACGGCCCACCAAGCCGACGAUCGGUAGCCGAACUGAGAGGUUGAUCGGCCGCAUUGGGACUGAGACACGGCCCAGACUCCUACGGGAGGCAGCAGUGGGGGAUAUUGCACAAUGGGGGAAACCCUGAUGCAGCAACGCCGCGUGAGGGAAGAAGGUCUUCGGAUUGUAAACCUAAGUUGUCAGGGACGAUAUGACGGUACCUGAAGAGAAAGCUCCGGGCUAACUACGUGCCAGCAGCCGCGGU
RNAcentral lists this ribosomal RNA (524 nucleotides) under uncultured bacterium. RNAcentral's name for it is "bacterial SSU rRNA". It matches the Rfam family "Bacterial small subunit ribosomal RNA", at positions 8 to 521 of the family's 1533-position model. The record is from RNAcentral.